CCUACGGGUGGCAGCAGUCGAGAAUCAUUCACAAUGGGGGAAACCCUGAUGGUGCGACGCCGCGUGGGGGAAUGAAGGUCUUCGGAUUGUAAACCCCUGUUAUGUGGGAGCAAAUUACAACGAUAGUACCACACUACGAAGAGACGGCUAAAUCGGUGCCAGCAGCCGCGGUAAUACAGAGGUCGCAAGCGUUGUUCGGAAUCACUGGGCGUAAAGCGUGCGUAGGCUGUUUCGUAAGUCGUGUGUGAAAGGCGCGGGCUCAACCCGCGGACGGCAGAUGAUACUGCGAGACUAGAGUAAUGGAGAGGGAGGCGGAAUUCUCGGUGUAGCAGUGAAAUGCGUAGAUAUCGAGAGGAACACUGGUGGCGAAGGCGGGUUGCUGGACAGUAACUGACGCUGAGGCACGAAGGCCAGGGGAGCGAAAGGGAUUAGAUACCCUAGUAGUC
Molecule: ribosomal RNA, 446 nt
Filed under: uncultured bacterium
Lineage: Bacteria
Description: partial 16S ribosomal RNA
Rfam family: Bacterial small subunit ribosomal RNA
Source: RNAcentral